GAUGAACGCUGGCGGCGUGCCUAAUACAUGCAAGUCGAACGCUGGAAAUCUAGCUUGCUAGAUUGAAGGAGUGGCGAACGGGUGAGUAAUACAUAAGCAACCUACCCACGAAGACUGGGAUAAUCUCUGGAAACGGGGACUAAUACCGGAUAGGUAAUCGGAAGGCAUCUUCAGAUUAUUAAAGGUUAAAAACACUGGUGGAUGGGCUUAUGGCGCAUUAGUUAGUUGGUGAGGUAACGGCCCACCAAGACGAUGAUGCGUAGCCGGCCUGAGAGGGUGAACGGCCACAUUGGGACUGAGACACGGCCCAGACUCCUACGGGAGGCAGCAGUAGGGAAUUUUCGGCGAUGGGGGAAACCCUGACCGAGCAACGCCGCGUGAGUGAUGACGGCCUUCGGGUUGUAAAGCUCUGUUGUAAGAGAAGAACGGUAGAUAGAGAAUAUCUAAAUGACGGUACCUUAACAGAAAGCCACGGCUAACUACGUG
RNAcentral lists this ribosomal RNA (486 nucleotides) under uncultured bacterium. RNAcentral's name for it is "partial 16S ribosomal RNA". It matches the Rfam family "Bacterial small subunit ribosomal RNA", at positions 28 to 507 of the family's 1533-position model. The record is from RNAcentral.